This is a long non-coding RNA of Cajanus cajan (pigeon pea), 591 nucleotides long. RefSeq lists it as uncharacterized. Lineage: Eukaryota; Viridiplantae; Streptophyta; Magnoliopsida; Fabales; Fabaceae. The record is from RefSeq and is a predicted model, not a curated record.
CUUAAUUAUUCCCCUCUCCUCCUUUAACUUCCGAGGGGUUCCUCUGAGUUGCGUGAUUGGAAAAGAAAGGAAAAGCGAUCAAUCGAAAGAGAGAAGAAGGGAAAGAAAAGCAAAAGAGAAAUCGUGUUCCAAGUAAAAGGAAAAGCUGUUUGGCUUGGAAUGGCGCAUCAACAAUACAAACCAUGGAUCCAGGAUGCAGUACCUUUGUUAGUGGUUAUUCUAAUAGCAGCUCAUGUCCUCGCCAUGGUAUAUUGGAUUUAUAGAUUAGCCACCCAGAAACAAACGCGCCAGAGGAGAAAGGCUCACUGAACAACAAGCUUCGUCAAUCGCCAUUACUAUUGGUGAACCCUAAUUUUCCUACUUAGCAAAUUUUUACCCUAAUCUUCAUUUUUAUAGUUGUUGAUUGUUAAUGAUUUCAUAAUUUACACUUUUUAAUUAGUCCCUUUGUGCAAUUUUAAUUUAUUGUCUCGUGUAGAGUACGCUGUCAAUUUAGCAAAAUUAUUGAUUUCUUCCCGUGUGUGUGAUGUAUAUUUCUGCGGUUUGAUUUCUCAUACACAAAUAAUUUAAUAAAAAACUAGUGUGUUUUUCUUA